GACAGAGGGUGCAAACGUUGUUCGGAAUUACUGGGCGUAAAGCGCGUGUAGGCGGCUAUGCAAGUCGGAUGUGAAAGCCCUCGGCUCAACCGGGGAAGUGCACCCGAAACUGCAAAGCUAGAGUCUCGGAGAGGAUCGUGGAAUUCUCGGUGUAGAGGUGAAAUUCGUAGAUAUCGAGAGGAACACCGGUGGCGAAGGCGGCCUUCUGGACAGUGACUGACGCUGAGACGCGAAAGCGUGGGGAGCAAACAGG
Molecule: ribosomal RNA, 253 nt
Filed under: uncultured bacterium
Lineage: Bacteria
Description: partial 16S ribosomal RNA
Rfam family: Bacterial small subunit ribosomal RNA
Source: RNAcentral